RNAcentral lists this long non-coding RNA (212 nucleotides) under Vigna radiata. Its description in RNAcentral is "long non-coding RNA (VRAD_LNC018102)". Lineage: Eukaryota; Viridiplantae; Streptophyta; Magnoliopsida; Fabales; Fabaceae. The record is from RNAcentral.
AAGAACCUUUAUAUUUUCUUAUGCCUAACAAUAUUUGUUUGUCUUCUAUACAAGUUUCUUUGUCUUUAGGUAUAGAGCAACUUCUCAAGGAGUAUGAGAAUGUUUUCCCUAGAGACAUUCCUCGUAACUUACCUCCUAAAAGGGUUAUUGAACACAACAUGGACCUUAUUCUCGGUGCAUCCCUUCCUAAUAGGCCAGUGAUUGACGUCGUA